RNAcentral lists this transfer RNA (363 nucleotides) under uncultured Microcystis sp. Its description in RNAcentral is "partial 16S-23S ribosomal RNA intergenic spacer". The stretch from base 135 to 208 matches the Rfam family "tRNA". The record is from RNAcentral. Lineage: Bacteria; Bacillati; Cyanobacteriota; Cyanophyceae; Chroococcales; Microcystaceae.
AAGGGAGACCUAAUUCAGGUAGGAGACGAAAAAAAAGUAGUCGCUACCAAGAAUCAAUCCCAAAAGGCCGGAGCGAGGCGAAAUUGGCUUUCAAACUAGGUUCUGGGUUCACACAAGACCUGAAUCAGGAACAAGGGCUAUUAGCUCAGGUGGUUAGAGCGCACCCCUGAUAAGGGUGAGGUCCCUGGUUCGAGUCCAGGAUGGCCCACCUGUACAGGUGGCAAAAAGAAAGAAAAGAAGCGAGGAAUCAGCACCUUAUCUUACUGACAUAGUAAGAGAGAAUGCUGGCUCUGAGUAAAGAGUCCAGAGGAACCUUGAAAACUGCAUAGAGCUAGGUGAAAAAGCCAAAAAAGAAGACCGCAA